Molecule: ribosomal RNA, 1157 nt
Filed under: Escherichia coli
Lineage: Bacteria; Pseudomonadati; Pseudomonadota; Gammaproteobacteria; Enterobacterales; Enterobacteriaceae
Description: partial 23S ribosomal RNA
Rfam family: Bacterial large subunit ribosomal RNA
Source: RNAcentral
GGGUUGUGAGGUUAAGCGACUAAGCGUACACGGUGGAUGCCCUGGCAGUCAGAGGCGAUGAAGGACGUGCUAAUCUGCGAUAAGCGUCGGUGAGGUGAUAUGAACCGUUAUAACCGGCGAUUUCCGAAUGGGGAAACCCAGUGUGUUUCGACACACUAUCAUUAACUGAAUCCAUAGGUUAAUGAGGCGAACCUGGGGAACUGAAACAUCUAAGUACCCCGAGGAAAAGAAAUCAACCGAGAUUCCCCCAGUAGCGGCGAGCGAACGGGGAGGAGCCCAGAGCCUGAAUCAGUGUGUGUGUUAGUGGAAGUGUCUGGAAAGGCGCGCGAUACAGGGUGACAGCCCCGUACACAAAAAUGCACAUGCUGUGAGCUCGAUGAGUAGGGCGGGACACGUGGUAUCCUGUCUGAAUAUGGGGGGACCAUCCUCCAAGGCUAAAUACUCCUGACUGACCGAUAGUGAACCAGUACCGUGAGGGAAAGGCGAAAAGAACCCCGGCGAGGGGAGUGAAAAAGAACCUGAAACCGUGUACGUACAAGCAGUGGGAGCCUCUUAAUGGGGUGACUGCGUACCUUUUGUAUAAUGGGUCAGCGACUUAUAUUCUGUAGCAAGGUUAACCGAAUAGGGGAGCCGAAGGGAAACCGAGUCUUAACUGGGCGUUAAGUUGCAGGGUAUAGACCCGAAACCCGGUGAUCUAGCCAUGGGCAGGUUGAAGGUUGGGUAACACUAACUGGAGGACCGAACCGACUAAUGUUGAAAAAUUAGCGGAUGACUUGUGGCUGGGGGUGAAAGGCCAAUCAAACCGGGAGAUAGCUGGUUCUCCCCGAAAGCUAUUUAGGUAGCGCCUCGUGAAUUCAUCUCCGGGGGUAGAGCACUGUUUCGGCAAGGGGGUCAUCCCGACUUACCAACCCGAUGCAAACUGCGAAUACCGGAGAAUGUUAUCACGGGAGACACACGGCGGGUGCUAACGUCCGUCGUGAAGAGGGAAACAACCCAGACCGCCAGCUAAGGUCCCAAAGUCAUGGUUAAGUGGGAAACGAUGUGGGAAGGCCCAGACAGCCAGGAUGUUGGCUUAGAAGCAGCCAUCAUUUAAAGAAAGCGUAAUAGCUCACUGGUCGAGUCGGCCUGCGCGGAAGAUGUAACGGGGCUAAACCAUG